GAUGAACGCUGGCGGCGUGCCUAAUACAUGCAAGUCGAGCGAACGGACGAGAAGCUUGCUUUUCUGAUGUUAGCGGCGGACGGGUGAGUAACACGUGGAUAACCUACCUAUAAGACUGGGAUAACUUCGGGAAACCGGAGCUAAUACCGGAUAAUAUUUUGAACCGCAUGGUUCAAAAGUGAAAGACGGUCUUGCUGUCGCUUAUAGAUGGAUCCGCGCUGCAUUAGCUAGUUGGUAAGGUAACGGCUUACCAAGGCAACGAUGCAUAGCCGACCUGAGAGGGUGAUCGGCCACACUGGAACUGAGACACGGUCCAGACUCCUACGGGAGGCAGCAGUAGGGAAUCUUCCGCAAUGGGCGAAAGCCUGACGGAGCAACGCCGCGUGAGUGAUGAAGGUCUUCGGAUCGUAAAACUCUGUUAUUAGGGAAGAACAUAUGUGUAAGUAACUGUGCACAUCUUGACGGUACCUAAUCAGAAAGCCACGGCUAACUACGUGCCAGCAGCCGCGGUAAUACGUAGGUGGCAAGCGUUAUCCGGAAUUAUUGGGCGUAAAGCGCGCGUAGGCGGUUUUUUAAGUCUGAUGUGAAAGCCCACGGCUCAACCGUGGAGGGUCAUUGGAAACUGGAAAACUUGAGUGCAGAAGAGGAAAGUGGAAUUCCAUGUGUAGCGGUGAAAUGCGCAGAGAUGUGGAGGAACACCAGUGGCGAAGGCGACUUUCUGGUCUGUAACUGACGCUGAUGUGCGAAAGCGUGGGGAUCAAACAGGAUUAGAUACCCUGGUAGUCCACGCCGUAAACGAUGAGUGCUAAGUGUUAGGGGGUUUCCGCCCCUUAGUGCUGCAGCUAACGCAUUAAGCACUCCGCCUGGGGAGUACGACCGCAAGGUUGAAACUCAAAGGAAUUGACGGGGGCCCGCACAAGCGGUGGAGCAUGUGGUUUAAUUCGAAGCAACGCGAAGAACCUUACCAAAUCUUGACAUCCUUUGACAACUCUAGAGAUAGAGCCUUCCCCUUCGGGGGACAAAGUGACAGGUGGUGCAUGGUUGUCGUCAGCUCGUGUCGUGAGAUGUUGGGUUAAGUCCCGCAACGAGCGCAACCCUUAAGCUUAGUUGCCAUCAUUAAGUUGGGCACUCUAAGUUGACUGCCGGUGACAAACCGGAGGAAGGUGGGGAUGACGUCAAAUCAUCAUGCCCCUUAUGAUUUGGGCUACACACGUGCUACAAUGGACAAUACAAAGGGCAGCGAAACCGCGAGGUCAAGCAAAUCCCAUAAAGUUGUUCUCAGUUCGGAUUGUAGUCUGCAACUCGACUACAUGAAGCUGGAAUCGCUAGUAAUCGUAGAUCAGCAUGCUACGGUGAAUACGUUCCCGGGUCU
RNAcentral lists this ribosomal RNA (1372 nucleotides) under uncultured bacterium. RNAcentral describes it as "bacterial SSU rRNA". It matches the Rfam family "Bacterial small subunit ribosomal RNA", at positions 28 to 1381 of the family's 1533-position model. The record is from RNAcentral.